AUGUGGCCAUUGUUUAUUGCGUUUUGAAGAGCACUCGCUUCGUCUUUCCAACAAGACGCAUAGGUUCGGCGCUCCGAUUAGCAUUUAAACUGUCGUCUUCUCGGAAGCAGGCACUGAUCCUUGGAGACCUGCAGAGCGCAAACUGCAGCAUGUAUGCCGAAAUAAACAGCUAUUGCCUAUUUCAAA
This 186-nucleotide long non-coding RNA is filed under the name Dermacentor andersoni. Its description in RNAcentral is "uncharacterized LOC126529223". The record is from RNAcentral. Lineage: Eukaryota; Metazoa; Arthropoda; Arachnida; Ixodida; Ixodidae.